UCUGGUGAUGAUGGCAUGGAAGUAACACUCCUACCCAUUCCGAACAGGAAAGUUAAGAUCCAUAGCGCCGAAGGUACUG
RNAcentral lists this ribosomal RNA (79 nucleotides) under Clostridium botulinum. The record is from RNAcentral. Lineage: Bacteria; Bacillati; Bacillota; Clostridia; Eubacteriales; Clostridiaceae.